GAUGUAAUUAUGUAAGAGAAGAAAGCAGAGAUAAGUUAGAGUCUAAAAUAAUUCUCUAAUUACCCAGCUUUGUUAUUUUACACGUUUCCUUCUAGUGUAAAGUACAAAUAUAAAUGUAUAAAAACUGACUGGGCAACAGACUGAACGUCACUUUCUGAUUAAUUUUCUAAAAAUACCCCAUGAGAUGAGAAAAUUAACAUGACAAGACAAUUGGCACUUCUGUUUAGAAUAUUAUCAAAGUACCAUUUUUAUUCUGAGAAACAACCAUAAGCGAG
This 275-nucleotide long non-coding RNA is filed under the name Mytilus galloprovincialis (Mediterranean mussel). The record is from RNAcentral. Lineage: Eukaryota; Metazoa; Mollusca; Bivalvia; Mytilida; Mytilidae.